RNAcentral lists this ribosomal RNA (403 nucleotides) under bacterium. RNAcentral's name for it is "partial 16S ribosomal RNA". It matches the Rfam family "Bacterial small subunit ribosomal RNA", at positions 355 to 776 of the family's 1533-position model. RNAcentral also lists the same sequence under 1 other name. The record is from RNAcentral.
UGGGGAAUAUUGCACAAUGGAGGGAACUCUGAUGCAGCGACGCCGCGUGAACGAAGAAGGCUUUCGAGUCGUAAAGUUCUUUUAUAUGGGAAGAUAAUGACGGUACCAUAAGAAAAAGCCCCGGCUAACUACGUGCCAGCAGCCGCGGUAAUACGUAGGGGGCUAGCGUUGUCCGGAAUCACUGGGCGUAAAGGGUUCGCAGGCGGAAAUGCAAGUCAGGUGUAAAAGGCAGUAGCUUAACUUCUGUAAGCAUUUGAAACUGCAUAUCUUGAGAAGAGUAGAGGUAAGUGGAAUUUUUAGUGUAGCGGUGAAAUGCGUAGAUAUUAAAAAGAAUACCGGUGGCGAAGGCGACUUACUGGGCUCAUUCUGACGCUGAGGAACGAAAGCGUGGGUAGCAAACAGG